RNAcentral lists this ribosomal RNA (292 nucleotides) under uncultured bacterium. Its description in RNAcentral is "partial 16S ribosomal RNA". It matches the Rfam family "Bacterial small subunit ribosomal RNA", at positions 505 to 796 of the family's 1533-position model. The record is from RNAcentral.
GUUUCAGCCGCCGCGGUAAUACAGAGGGUGCGAGCGUUAAUCGGAAUUACUGGGCGUAAAGCGUGCGUAGACGGUUAGGUAAGUCGGAUGUGAAAGCCCCGGGCUCAACCCGGGAAUUGCAUUCGAGACUGCAUAGCUAGGGUGCGGAAGAGGGAAGCGGAAUUUCCGGUGUAGCGGUGAAAUGCGUAGAUAUCGGAAGGAACAUCAGUGGCGAAAGCGGCUUCCUGGUCCAGCACCGACGUUCAGGCACGAAAGCGUGGGGAGCAAACAGGAUUAGAAACCCGUGUAGUCC